GGAGAGGUGGCUCAGUGGUUAAGAGCACUGACUGCUCUUCCAGAGGUCCUGAGUUCAAAUCCCAGCAACCCCA
This 73-nucleotide transfer RNA is filed under the name Rattus norvegicus (Norway rat). It matches the Rfam family "tRNA". From Rfam's summary of the family: Transfer RNA (tRNA) molecules are approximately 80 nucleotides in length. Their secondary structure includes four short double-helical elements and three loops (D, anti-codon, and T loops). The record is from Rfam by way of RNAcentral. Lineage: Eukaryota; Metazoa; Chordata; Mammalia; Rodentia; Muridae.